AGUGAACGCUGGCGGUAGGCCUAACACAUGCAAGUCGAACGGCAGCACAGUAAGAGCUUGCUCUUACGGGUGGCGAGUGGCGGACGGGUGAGGAAUACAUCGGAAUCUACUUUUUCGUGGGGGAUAACGUGGGGAAACUUACGCUAAUACCGCAUACGACCUACGGGUGAAAGCAGGGGAUCUUCGGACCUUGCGCGAUUGAAUGAGCCGAUGCGGGAUUAGCUAGUUGGCGGGGUAAAGGCCCACCAAGGGGACGAUCCGUAGCUGGUCUGAGAGGAGGAUCGGCCACACGAGAACUGGAACACGGUCCAGACUCCUACGGGAGGCAGCAGUGUGGAAUAUUGGACAAUGGGCGCAAGCCUGAUCCAGCCAGACCGCGUGGGUGAAGAAGGCCUUCGGGUUGUAAAGCCGUUUUGUUGGGAAAGAAAAGCAGCAGGUUAAUACCCCGCUGUUCUGACGGUAACCAAAGAAUAAGCACCGGCUAACUUCGUG
Molecule: ribosomal RNA, 492 nt
Filed under: uncultured bacterium
Lineage: Bacteria
Description: partial 16S ribosomal RNA
Rfam family: Bacterial small subunit ribosomal RNA
Source: RNAcentral